CUAGGGUAGAUCUGAAAGAGAAAGGCUGUAUUGUUGUUUAAAUCAGCUUCUACAGGAUCAAAUAGAACAUUUCCUGAAAGUGUUGGAGAUGGAAAAACACAAUAAAGAAGGAACCAGAGUAUUAACAGUUCCACCUCAUGAGCAAUAAUCUUACCAAUAUGCCAACGCAGGCAUAUUACACAGAUCACAAAAAGACCUGUGAGCUCCAUGACUGGAUGUUCUGUGGCUCACGCUGUGAGCUCGAAUGGCCACAGUCUUCCUCUGCGGAUAUUUCCGUGUCCAGGUACUUGGCCUGACCCUGUUGAACUAUCCUCCCAAGUACUGGACGGCUCACACUUCCGUGUUAAGU
Molecule: non-coding RNA, 349 nt
Organism: Oryctolagus cuniculus (rabbit)
Lineage: Eukaryota; Metazoa; Chordata; Mammalia; Lagomorpha; Leporidae
Source: RefSeq, a predicted model, not a curated record